RNAcentral lists this unclassified non-coding RNA (252 nucleotides) under Coniochaeta sp. Its description in RNAcentral is "partial contains 5.8S ribosomal RNA, internal transcribed spacer 2, and large subunit ribosomal RNA". The stretch from base 1 to 52 matches the Rfam family "5.8S ribosomal RNA", at positions 103 to 154 of the family's 154-position model. The record is from RNAcentral. Lineage: Eukaryota; Fungi; Ascomycota; Sordariomycetes; Coniochaetales; Coniochaetaceae. RNAcentral also lists the same sequence under 1 other name.
AACGCACAUUGCGCCCGCCAGUAUUCUGGCGGGCAUGCCUGUUCGAGCGUCAUUUCAACCCUCAAGCCCCAGGCUUGGUGUUGGGGUCCUACGGCUGCCGUAGGCCCUGAAAGAAAGUGGCGGGCUCGCUAUCAACUCCGAGCGUAGUAGUAACAUAUCUCGCUAGGGAGUCGUCGCGGGUUCCGGCCGUGAAAGCCCCAUCUUUUACACAAGGUUGACCUCGGAUCAGGUAGGAAUACCCGCUGAACUUAA